This is a non-coding RNA of Oryza nivara, 204 nucleotides long. NCBI's taxonomy places the organism in Eukaryota, Viridiplantae, Streptophyta, Magnoliopsida, Poales, Poaceae. The record is from Rfam.
AAAAAGACAAAUUAUGGGUCUAGUAUCAACGUUUGACUAUCCGUCUUAUAUGAAUUUUUUUUAUAAUUAGUAUUUUCAUUGUUGUUAGAUGAUAAAACAUGAUUAAUACUUUAUGCGUGACUUAUCUUUUUAAUUUUUUUUAUAAUUUUUUUAAAUAAAACGGACGGUCAAACGUUGAACACGAAAAUCAGGGUUUGUCUUAUU